RNAcentral lists this ribosomal RNA (454 nucleotides) under uncultured bacterium. Its description in RNAcentral is "bacterial SSU rRNA". It matches the Rfam family "Bacterial small subunit ribosomal RNA", at positions 340 to 786 of the family's 1533-position model. The record is from RNAcentral.
UACGGAAGGCAGCAGUGGGGAAUAUUGCACAAUGGGCGCAAGCCUGAUGCAGCCAUGCCGCGUGUAUGAAGAAGGCCUUCGGGUUGUAAAGUACUUUCAGUCGUGAGGAAGGUGUUAAGGUUAAUAACCUUAGCAAUUGACGUUAGCGACAGAAGAAGCACCGGCUAACUCCGUGCCAGCAGCCGCGGUAAUACGGAGGGUGCGAGCGUUAAUCGGAAUUACUGGGCGUAAAGGGCACGCAGGCGGUUAAUUAAGUUGGAUGUGAAAUCCCCGGGCUUAACCUGGGAAUGGCAUUCAAGACUGGUUUAGCUAGAGUCUUGUAGAGGGGGUAGAAUUCCAUGUGUAGCGGUGAAAUGCGUAGAGAUGUGGAGGAAUACCGGUGGCGAAGGCGGCCCCUGGGACAAAGACUGACGCUCAUGUGCGAAAGCGUGGGGAGCAAACAGGAUUAGAUACC